RNAcentral lists this signal recognition particle RNA (268 nucleotides) under Candidatus Woesearchaeota archaeon. Its description in RNAcentral is "signal recognition particle sRNA". It matches the Rfam family "Archaeal signal recognition particle RNA". The record is from RNAcentral. Lineage: Archaea; Nanobdellati; Candidatus Woesearchaeota.
AUGCAGACUAGGCGGGCAGCUAGCCCCUGCCUCUAUCGCAAAUGGGCUAUACGGCGAGCUGAAGCCCGGAGGCGGCUUUACUGCAGCGGCAUAGUCCUGUGCUGUACAGAGAAGCCUUGUCCUUUCAGACUCAUGUUUUCAGGAACCGUGUCAGGCUGGGAACAGAGCAGCACUAACUGUUUACAUGGGUGUUGAAGGGGUAGCAGGGUGGAGGAAGGCUCAGGGAAGCUGUGCCAUUGUAGUAAUUCCCACUCUGGGUGGUCUGCUU